Long non-coding RNA from Cyprinodon variegatus (sheepshead minnow), 631 nucleotides. RefSeq lists it as uncharacterized. The transcript is spliced from 2 exons. The record is from RefSeq and is a predicted model, not a curated record. NCBI's taxonomy places the organism in Eukaryota, Metazoa, Chordata, Actinopteri, Cyprinodontiformes, Cyprinodontidae.
UAUAAAUCACCACCUUGGACCCCCUGUUUGAAUCACUUUUGCAACUAUUUUCCACCCAUCUGGAAGUGCUGCCUGAUCAUCAACCAGCAAGAUGACCAAACUUUGCGUCGCUUUGCUCUCAGCUCUGGUGCUGGCUUUGUGCCUCUCACUUCAGGUGGUCCAGGCCGCCGAGGCUACCACCAACGCCACCAUCACCACCCCCUCCAAAAACAGCGGUGAACGGGCCAUGGCGGUUCCACUGCUCCUUCUCCCGUUGACCUUUCCUAUUAUCUUCUUUCAUGACUGGUUUCUGUAAAGGAUUACUCCAACUGUCCUGUCGGUCCAGCUGGACAGGGGGAUGCAGAUGUCAUCUUCUUCAAUUUGAGGGUUCCCCAAAGAAAACUGUCUUAAGCACCGAACCAGGACGUGCCCUGUUACCAUCUGCAUGUUUUCCCGAUCCCUGCUGGGUGUUUCAUGGACUCUAUUAUUCGGGUAGUACAAGGUGCCUGUGUAGUAACUAGCCUUGUUUUAGGGGGUGGGUGAAAAUGUUAGUGUUUUUAUUUUUUCAAGAAACGUCUUCUGAAUUACUUCACUGCAAAGAUUUAUCUAUUUAAAUAAUCAUGACAAUUGAUACAUAAAUAAAGUUUUAAAA